Molecule: ribosomal RNA, 664 nt
Filed under: uncultured bacterium
Lineage: Bacteria
Description: bacterial SSU rRNA
Rfam family: Bacterial small subunit ribosomal RNA
Source: RNAcentral
UGCAGUCGUACGGUGUAGCACGGAGCUUGCUCCUCUGGAUCAGUGGCGAACGGGUGAGUAACACGUGAGUAACCUGCCCUUGACUCUGGGAUAAGCGUUGGAAACGACGUCUAAUACCGGAUACGAACCGUGGAGGCAUCUCCUGCGGUUGGAAAGAAUUUUGGUCAAGGAUGGACUCGCGGCCUAUCAGGUAGUUGGUGAGGUAACGGCUCACCAAGCCGACGACGGGUAGCCGGCCUGAGAGGGUGACCGGCCACACUGGGACUGAGACACGGCCCAGACUCCUACGGGAGGCAGCAGUGGGGAAUAUUGCACAAUGGGCGAAAGCCUGAUGCAGCAACGCCGCGUGAGGGACGACGGCCUUCGGGUUGUAAACCUCUUUUAGCAGGGAAGAAGCGAAAGUGACGGUACCUGCAGAAAAAGCACCGGCUAACUACGUGCCAGCAGCCGCGGUAAUACGUAGGGUGCAAGCGUUGUCCGGAAUUAUUGGGCGUAAAGAGCUCGUAGGCGGUUUGUCGCGUCUGCUGUGAAAACGCGAGGCUCAACCUCGCGCCUGCAGUGGGUACGGGCAGACUAGAGUGCGGUAGGGGAGAUUGGAAUUCCUGGUGUAGCGGUGGAAUGCGCAGAUAUCAGGAGGAACACCGAUGGCGAAGGCAGAUCUCUG